GGCACUGCCUCACCCUGCCACAGGCCCACACUGUUUAUCUGGACCCUGAGGGGGUCAGGCACCUGGCCUAACCUAUGAUAGGCUCUGCUUAGGAGAACCAGCCAACCAGCCAACCCAAUCACAUGCAAGUGAUUAAUUGACUAAGUGGCAGGACAGCAGUUAUUUAUCUAAGGAACACCUGGGUCUCAUAAAGGGUUAUGAGGGUUUAGUCAAAUUCUAGGAGAGAGAGAAAGAAAAUAAAUAAAUAAAUAAAAAAGGUCCUCAGGAAAAGGACUUCUUAUGGGAGGGGUGAGAGAUCUCACUAGGAAAAGGAAUCUAGCAAAGGUAUUCCUAGAGAAAAGAGGUUCUUGAAGGGGAGCUAUGAGGGACAAGCCUUUAGGGAGGGACUUUUCCAGACAGGGGGUCCAGAUUACAGAAUAAUUAUACAUUGCUCCAGAGAAGAGCUGCACCAGUUUGACCUCUGCCAGGACCCUAAGUCCAGGGAAUGAAUGUUCUUCAGUUGAAGGAGACUCUAUCCCAUCCUGAUGGACAGUGACCUGGCCUUGAUCAUUCACACCUUCACCAUGUCCUACCUGGAGUCCAGCAGUGCGGCAUGAAUCUAUCAGCCCUUAGGAAACUCCAGCUGGUACAGUAUCCGGUGGCACAUCUCCUCAGUGAUACAGGCUACCAGGGGCAAAUCAAACCUGUCUUGCCCACAGAAAAUCAAAUCAAGUUCAGUGGCCUGUGCCCAGCAUAUCUAAGAGUCACAGGAUGGUCGACUUCUCUGCUCCUCAGGCACAAGGGGAAGCUCAUCUGUGCAGGAGACUGAGCUUUCUCAGAGACUGGUCUGAGACUGAGGACUGAACUCCCAAAGGACUAUAACAAACCUCCCCACCUUCUGUUGUAAGAGCAAAGUGCACUUCUUCAACCUGCCUUUUGUUUUAUAAGUACUUAGUAGCAUAUACAUUUAAAAACAAGAAUAUCCAAAUGCCUACUAAAAGAAAACACAACCUUGUACUCACAGUUCUACCCCCAGAGGGGAGGAUAAGGGAGAACAAACUACAUGACAGAUGGUAGUCACAUCACUUAAUGCACGCUCGAUACAAUGGUGAUGAGGAUGAUAUUAGAACCAGUAUAGAAUAAAAUACUUGUACACCUGUGAGAUGCAAAAUGUCAUCUUCACCGAUCGACCGAGGCACCAAGCUGUGUACGCUACGUGUUCCUGAUGCACAGGCAAGGAUUUAAAAAGAACCUUGCAUAAACUAGUGAGGGUGUCACUACUUCACCAUGGCUACCCUUGAAAUCCAUACCAUCACUGAUGCUUGUACUGUACUUUUCACAAACAAAGCACUUCACAAAUGCAUUAUAAAGUUCUUGAAGAUUAGUUUGGAGAUAAAUAAGUAUCAUCCCCAAUUUAUAAUUUGGGGAAAUAGGCUGAAGUGGGUUCCUGUAGGCUACUGGAGGAAUUGAUACUUCGCCUGUUUUGGUUCAUUGGAUUGGCCAUCUCCAAAAUUGAGAGGAAAGUGCAAUUAAACUUGGGCAGAUUGGACUUUGAGAGCUUUAUUAUUUUAUUUAUUUAUGUCAAAACCAGGAUAUUGUUAGGGUCUAAUCACCAGCAUCUAACCUGUCAAACAUAGUAUAUAAAGAGAAGUCUGAUGAGAAAUGUUACGUAAACAAGGGCCAAUGGAGAUUAGGUCUCUCAAGCCACAGUGGAGCUGGUAAUGUGUUUAGCAUUAUCCAUGUCAUCUUUCCAUCACCAGUGAACUCAGAAAAUGAGUUAUCAGUCAUCUCAAACAUGAUCGGGAACUGUUAAUAUCCAACUAUGCUACUUUUGCAGCAGGAGAGACCUCUUUAAUU
Long non-coding RNA from Dermochelys coriacea (leatherback sea turtle), 1836 nucleotides. RefSeq lists it as uncharacterized. The record is from RefSeq and is a predicted model, not a curated record. The transcript has 2 exons. Lineage: Eukaryota; Metazoa; Chordata; Testudines; Dermochelyidae.